AUCGCUUCUCGGCCUUUUGGCUAAGAUCAGGUGCACUGCAUUAUGUAAAACUCACUUAAGCAAAAUGAGGAUCCAAGUCUCUGGCUGAUUUCAGAUGAAAUUUCAUGUAUUUCCAAUUUUCCUAAUACAAAUUUUUUAAAACUUCUGCU
This 149-nucleotide small nuclear RNA is filed under the name Papio anubis (olive baboon). RNAcentral's name for it is "U2 spliceosomal RNA (ENSPANG00000039727.1)". It matches the Rfam family "U2 spliceosomal RNA". Rfam says of the family: U2 is a small nuclear RNA (snRNA) component of the spliceosome (involved in pre-mRNA splicing). Lineage: Eukaryota; Metazoa; Chordata; Mammalia; Primates; Cercopithecidae. The record is from Rfam by way of RNAcentral.